AGAGUUUGAUCCUGGCUCAGGACGAACGCUGGCGGCGUGCUUAACACAUGCAAGUCGAACGGAAAGGCCCUUCGGGGUACUCGAGUGGCGAACGGGUGAGUAACACGUGGGUGAUCCGCCCUGCACUUUGGGAUAAGCCUGGGAAACUGGGUCUAAUACCGAAUAUGACCACGCUCUUCAUGGGGUGUGGUGGAAAGCUUUUGCGGUGUGGGAUGGGCCCGCGGCCUAUCAGCUUGUUGGUGGGGUAAUGGCCUACCAAGGCGACGACGGGUAGCCGGCCUGAGAGGGUGACCGGCCACACUGGGACUGAGAUACGGCCCAGACUCCUACGGGAGGCAGCAGUGGGGAAUAUUGCACAAUGGGCGCAAGCCUGAUGCAGCGACGCCGCGUGAGGGAUGACGGCCUUCGGGUUGUAAACCUCUUUCACCAGGGACGAAGCGCAAGUGACGGUACCUGGAGAAGAAGCACCGGCCAACUACGCGCCAGCAGCCGCGGUAAUACGUAGGGUGCGAGCGUUGUCCGGAAUUACUGGGCGUAAAGAGCUCGUAGGUGGUUUGUCGCGUUGUUCGUGAAAACUCACAGCUUAACUGUGGGCGUGCGGGCGAUACGGGCAGACUAGAGUACUGCAGGGGAGACUGGAAUUCCUGAUGUAGCGGUGGAAUGCGCAGAUAUCAGGAGGAACACCGGUGGCGAAGGCGGGUCUCUGGGCAGUAACUGACGCUGAGGAGCGAAAGCGUGGGGAGCGAACAGGAUUAGAUACCCUGGUAGUC
Molecule: ribosomal RNA, 770 nt
Filed under: uncultured bacterium
Lineage: Bacteria
Description: bacterial SSU rRNA
Rfam family: Bacterial small subunit ribosomal RNA
Source: RNAcentral